AUUGAACGCUGGCGGCAUGCUUUACACAUGCAAGUCGAACGGUAACAGGGGCUUCGGUCUGCUGACGAGUGGCGAACGGGUGAGUAAUGCGUCGGAACGUGCCGAGUAAUGGGGGAUAACGCAUCGAAAGGUGUGCUAAUACCGCAUACGCUCUGAGGAGGAAAGCUGGGGAUCGAAAGACCUGGCGUUAUUCGAGCGGCCGACGUCUGAUUAGCUAGUUGGUGGGGUAAAGGCUCACCAAGGCGACGAUCAGUAGCGGGUCUGAGAGGAUGAUCCGCCACACUGGGACUGAGACACGGCCCAGACUCCUACGGGAGGCAGCAGUGGGGAAUUUUGGACAAUGGGCGCAAGCCUGAUCCAGCCAUGCCGCGUGUCUGAAGAAGGCCUGGUUGUAAGGACGUUUGUUAGGUAG
This 412-nucleotide ribosomal RNA is filed under the name uncultured bacterium. RNAcentral's name for it is "bacterial SSU rRNA". It matches the Rfam family "Bacterial small subunit ribosomal RNA", at positions 30 to 446 of the family's 1533-position model. The record is from RNAcentral.